RNAcentral lists this long non-coding RNA (254 nucleotides) under Panax ginseng (ginseng). RNAcentral's name for it is "long non-coding RNA (PGIN_LNC004652)". The record is from RNAcentral. Lineage: Eukaryota; Viridiplantae; Streptophyta; Magnoliopsida; Apiales; Araliaceae.
GGUCGCGGGGAAUACAAAGGUGGUCCCAAUUUGGUUUCAUGAAUUCAUUCUUCAUGCAUCUUGGGCAAGGCUAUGUGCCCUGCACUAACGUGAAUACUGCAUGGAGUUUUUGCAAUCCGUAUGUUAACCAAGAUGUUGGUCCACCUUUACACGAAUGCAAAUACAUAUUCAUGCCGGUGUGUAGUACCAAUCAACGCCAUUUUGUCUUGUUCCUAUUCGCAGUUGAAGAUUGGAUGGUUACCAUAAUUGACCCG